Thalassophryne amazonica is the source of this 815-nucleotide long non-coding RNA. RefSeq lists it as uncharacterized. The record is from RefSeq and is a predicted model, not a curated record. NCBI's taxonomy places the organism in Eukaryota, Metazoa, Chordata, Actinopteri, Batrachoidiformes, Batrachoididae. The transcript is spliced from 3 exons.
CAGCUGAGAAGGUUGUUGAAACAGCGGCUAACUGCUGCUAAUGUCGAGAUAUUUGAGUAGAAACAAAAAACAUCGCAGAGCAGCAAGAAGAAAUUAGUGGAUUUAAAGAAGAGAAGAAACAAGUCAAUGUGCUGGAUGCUGUUUUCAAGCCUGAAGUUCGCUGAUCCAGAGCAGGAUACGCUAUGCAGACAUGUGCAAUAAUGGGUUGCAGCAAUGGAGAGUACCAUGUGAAUCGGUGGAUGCCCCAGAAGUGUCCUGAACAUAACUGCAAUUUUGGAACAUGUUCAUGCAUUUGCCCACCUCCUUUCACACUCCACCCUUUUCCAACUGAGGGGCAUAAUCCUGAACAAAGGCAGCUGUGGACAAAAGCAGUCAACCAGCAGGACUUGCACAGUGGGAAGAAUUGGCAGCCCAAUUCAAAUUCGACAGUAUGUUCCAAACAUUUCAUCGAUGGAUGCCCAACUGAGGAAAAUCCAGUUCCCACCCUUCAUCUUGGGUACAAUCUGCAAAAACCAAUCCCUUCUCAAAUGCGACCUACAGAGCGACCAUUUUCUGCACCAAGAAGCAUGCGACAUAAACUUGAGUUACCUGAGGAGAUAAACACUCAUGAAGUUGAAAAGGAAUCAACAAAUCAUAUUCCUGACAUUUCUACACCUUGUUUAGAGGACCACACUUACCAAUUUCAGUGCAAUUGCAGUGAUGUUUGUCAGUGUUCUGGAUGUCUGAAAUUACACAAAGAGAAUCUCCAGCUGAAACACCAAAUAGAAUGGCUGAAUCUUUCUACAAACAUGUGUGAAGUCCAGCAGCUGAGGGAC